UGGGGCGUCGUCAAAUGGCAAGACACAGGGUUUUGGUCCCUGCAUUUGGAGGUUCGAAUCCUCCCGCCCCAGCCA
This 75-nucleotide transfer RNA is filed under the name Candidatus Fermentibacterota bacterium. RNAcentral's name for it is "tRNA-Gln". It matches the Rfam family "tRNA". Rfam says of the family: Transfer RNA (tRNA) molecules are approximately 80 nucleotides in length. The record is from RNAcentral. RNAcentral also lists the same sequence under 3 other names. Lineage: Bacteria; Pseudomonadati; Candidatus Fermentibacterota.